RNAcentral lists this ribosomal RNA (497 nucleotides) under uncultured bacterium. RNAcentral's name for it is "partial 16S ribosomal RNA". It matches the Rfam family "Bacterial small subunit ribosomal RNA", at positions 28 to 507 of the family's 1533-position model. The record is from RNAcentral.
GAUGAACGCUGGCGGCGUGCCUAAUACAUGCAAGUCGAGCGAACGGACGAGAAGCUUGCUUUUCUGAUGUUAGCGGCGGACGGGUGAGUAACACGUGGAUAACCUACCUAUAAGACUGGGAUAACUUCGGGAAACCGGAGCUAAUACCGGAUAAUAUUUUGAACCGCAUGGUUCAAAAGUGAGAGACGGUCUUGCUGUCACUUAUAGAUGGAUCCGCGCUGCAUUAGCUAGUUGGUAAGGUAACGGCUUACCAAGGCAACGAUGCAUAGCCGACCCGAGAGGGUGAUCGGCCACACUGGAACUGAGACACGGUCCAGACUCCUACGGGAGGCAGCAGUAGGGAAUCUUCCGCAAUGGGCGAAAGCCUGACGGAGCAACGCCGCGUGAGUGAUGAAGGUCUUCGGAUCGUAAAACUCUGUUAUUAGGGAAGAACAUAUGUGUAAGUAACUGUGCACAUCUUGACGGUACCUAAUCAGAAAGCCACGGCUAACUACGUG